RNAcentral lists this long non-coding RNA (1366 nucleotides) under Homo sapiens (human). RNAcentral's name for it is "HSALNT0339784". Lineage: Eukaryota; Metazoa; Chordata; Mammalia; Primates; Hominidae. The record is from RNAcentral.
GUCCACUCUCAUUGUGUUUUAUUUACCAGCUUGCUUUUAAAGAGCCAGGACCAGUCCACUAGCUGUGCAGAGUGCUGACCUCUUGGAUGAGAGCCCUGACCUCAUAGGAUAUCUGAGCUUGUCAUAAUUCAGGUGGGUUCUGUAGGGAAGCAGGGGCUCGUGGGGAGUGGGAGGAAGCUGGGGAGAAGAUGAGUUGAGAGCAGUCCAGUGUGAGGGAAAGUGGGGAUCCUGGGCCAACUUACCAUUAAGAGGGUCCAGUCCUGUGACUGCUGUGAAGUAACCAGGAUUCCACAUAGAGAUGGGGCUCAAAGUCAGCCCAGGAGCAGCACUGUGGUCCCAGGUGGUCCUUCAAGGAUUUCUUGGUUUUGGGUUUUGAAAUGUGUAAGGUUUGCUGCUAGCAACUCCACAUUUUUUUAUUCACUCACAAAGACACAUGGUCAUAAAUAAAAUGCAUGGAACCAGCGAGACAAUAGCACAGCAGUAAUGUCAUUUUAUAUGCAGCAUGGCCCUGUUGUGAACGGAAUGAUUGUGAACGGAAUGAUGGCCAAGGAGCUUUAUGCUUCUGCACCGCCAGCUCACACGAUGGUCCGUGUAUUGCCCCGUGGAAAACCGGGGGUGGAAAGCUGUCUCCACGUUCUGCUGCCGAAGCAGCAAGCUGAUUCACACAUCUUGAAGGCACAGUGGAACAUGGAAGGGUGCAUAUGAGACUUGAUUUUGAGGAUGAAACUUCCUGUCUGAAUCGCUAAGUCUCCCAGCAGGGGUGUUAAUGUCCCUGUGAGAUGCAGGCUUCCCACAGACACACCCAGGUUGCGAGUGGGUUCAACAUGGUCACAGGAGCUUCAAAUGGUGAUCCUGAUGCUCAUGGCCAUGCAUUGAGAACAACUGUGUAAGAAGAUAUGGAUAAUGCUUGAAAACUACUAGUAUUAGCACCAUUUUGCAUAUACUCCAAGGAAGAUCUCAAUAAAUGCUUAAUGGAAAUAAGUAAAGGUAUGAAUGCUGGACCUAAUACAGGAGGAAGACCCAGGUGAUUUGUGUACAAUUUGGACACAAGCUCUUGCCAACCACCUGAGAGAUUCCAACAAUGAGAUGAGAUUCCUUACCUUGAACCAGAUAAUUUGGAAUGAAUGUCUAGGCAGAACUUCUGCUUCAGAAUGACCACAAUUAACUACCAGACAACCAACUUUGGGGACAUAUCAGUAGGUGCAGAGCAUUUAGAACUGGAAGGACCAUUUGAAAUACAUAGUUCAUCUCUCUCAUGUUACUGAGGAGGAAAACUGAAGUGCACGGAGGUAAAGUAACUCGCCCAGUAUCACAAUUUGUGUUUGUACCAUUGCUGAGGUGAGCACCUGGGCCUUCUAACCCCAAA